Molecule: ribosomal RNA, 273 nt
Filed under: uncultured bacterium
Lineage: Bacteria
Description: partial 16S ribosomal RNA
Rfam family: Bacterial small subunit ribosomal RNA
Source: RNAcentral
AUACGGAGGGUGCGAGCGUUACUCGGAGUCACUGGGCGUAAAGCGUCCGUAGGCGGUCGGGUAAGUCGGGUGUGAAAGCCCCGGGCUCAACCUGGGAAGUGCACCCGAUACUGCUCGACUCGAGUGCGGGAGAGGAUGGCGGAAUUCCCGGUGUAGCGGUGAAAUGCGUAGAGAUCGGGAGGAACACCAGUGGCGAAGGCGGCCAUCUGGCCCGCAACUGACGCUGAGGGACGAAAGCGUGGGGAGCAAACAGGAUUAGAAACCCUGUAGUCC